CCUCACCCGAGAGGCCGGGCUGGGGCGCGGGGGCCGGGGACCGGAGAGGGCGGAGCCGUGUGAAAUGGCCAGGAACCAGUCCUCUGCCUGUGGAGCAGCAGAGAAGUAAUUGGAAAUGCAGAAUUUCAUGUCCCACAGAAUCAGAAUCUGCAUUUAACAAGAUCAUCAGAAUAAUGGUCCCCCAAAGAUGUCCACCCAGACAUGACUAAAUUAAGAAUCUUGAAAUGGUGAGAUUAUCAGGAUGGGUUCCCUGUAAUUACAAGAGUCCUCAUAAGUGAAAGAAAGAGGCAGAAGAACCAGAAGAGAUAUGAUGAUGGAAGCAGAAGUCUGAAUGAUGUGAUUACUGGCUUUGAAAAUGAAAGGGGUCCAGGAGCAGAGGAAUAUAUAUGGUCAGCCUCUAGGAAGCCUGAAAAAGCAAGGAAAUAUAUUUUUCUCUAGAGCCUCCAGAAGGAACACUGCCCUGCUGACACCUUGAUUAAAGCCCUGUGAGACGAAGUUUGGAUUUUUGAUCUCCUGUACUAUAAGAUAAUAAGUUUGUUUUGUUUUAAGUCACUAAGUUUGUGGUAAUUUGU
This is a long non-coding RNA of Molossus molossus (Pallas's mastiff bat), 572 nucleotides long. RefSeq lists it as uncharacterized. NCBI's taxonomy places the organism in Eukaryota, Metazoa, Chordata, Mammalia, Chiroptera, Molossidae. The record is from RefSeq and is a predicted model, not a curated record. The transcript is spliced from 3 exons.